AGAGUUUCAUCGUGGCUCAGAAUGAACGCUGGCGGCGUGCUUAACACAUGCAAGUCGAACGAGAAAGGAUUCUUCGGAAUCUGAGUAGAGUGGCGCACGGGUGAGUAAUACGUAGAUAAUCUACCUUUGAAUUUGGGAUAACAUCGCGAAAGUGGUGCUAAUACCGGAAUAUUGAUAAGACUUCGGUUAUGUAAAUCAAAGAUGGCCAAUUCUUGAAAGCUAUUGUUUGAAGAUGAGUCUACGCACCAUUAGCUUGUUGGUGGGGUAAAAGCCUACCAAGGCGACGAUGGUUAGCUGGUCUGAGAGGAUGAUCAGCCACACUGGAACUGACACACGGUCCAGACUCCUACGGGAGGCAGCAGUGAGGAAUUUUGCGCAAUGGGGGAAACCCUGACGCAGCAACGCCGCGUGAGUGAUGAAGGCUCUUGGGUCGUAAAACUCUGUCAGUAGGGAAGAAAUUACAUAUGGUUAAUACCCAUGUGUAUUGACGGUACCUACAAAGGAAGCACCGGCUAACUCCGUGCCAGCAGCCGCGGUAAUACGGGGGGUGCAAGCGUUAUUCGGAAUUAUUGGGCGUAAAGCGAGUGUAGGCGGUUUGUUAAGUCAGAUGUGAAAGCCCGGGGCUCAACCCCGGAAGUGCAUUUGAAACUGGCAGACUUGAGUAUGGGAGAGGAAAGUGGAAUUCCUGGUGUAGAGGUGAAAUUCGUAGAUAUCAGGAGGAACACCAGUGGCGAAGGCGACUUUCUGGACCAAUACUGACGCUCAGACUCGAAGGCGUGGGGAGCAAACAGGAUUAGAUACCACGGUAGUCCACGCAGUAAACGUUGUACACUAAGUGUCACGGGUAUUGACCCCUGUGGUGCUGCAGCUAACGCAUUACGUGUACCGCCUGGGGAGUACGAUCGCAAGACUAAAACUCAAAGAAAUUGACGGGGACCCGCACAAGCGGUGGAGUAUGUGGCUUAAUUCGAUGCAACGCGAAGAACCUUACCUGGAUUUGACAUCCUGGGAAUCUUUUCGAAAGAUUUGAGUGCCCUUCGGGGAACCCAGUGACAGGUGCUGCAUGCCUGGCGUCAGCUCGUGUCGUGAGCUGUUGGGUUAAGUCUCGCAACGAGCGCAACCCCUUUCCUUAGUUGCCAUCAUUAAGUUGGGCACUCUAGCAAGACUGCCGUAUUUAAAUCGGAGGAAGGUGGGGACGACGUCAAGUCAGUAUGGCCCUUAUACCCAGGGCUACACACGUGCUACAAUGGGUGGUACAAAGAGAAGCGAACUCGCGAGAGUAAGCGAAUCUCAAAAAGCCAUCCUCAGUUCGGAUUGAAGUCUGCAACUCGACUUCAUGAAGUUGGAAUCGCUAGUAAUCGCGGAUCAGCAUGCCGCGGUGAAUACGUUCCCGGGCCUUGUACACACCGCCCGUCACACCCGGAAAAUUGAUUGCACCAGAAGUCGUUGAGCUAACCGCUAUUUAUAGUGGGGGCAGAUGCCUACGGUGUGGUUAGUAAUCGGGGUGAAGUCGUAACAAGGUAGCCG
Molecule: ribosomal RNA, 1527 nt
Filed under: uncultured prokaryote
Description: partial 16S ribosomal RNA
Rfam family: Bacterial small subunit ribosomal RNA
Source: RNAcentral